GGGCCCGUAGCUCAGUCGGUCAGAGCACCCGACUCAUAAUCGGAGGGUCGCAGGUUCGAGUCCUGCCGGGCCCA
RNAcentral lists this transfer RNA (74 nucleotides) under Gammaproteobacteria bacterium. Its description in RNAcentral is "tRNA-Ile". It matches the Rfam family "tRNA". Rfam says of the family: Transfer RNA (tRNA) molecules are approximately 80 nucleotides in length. RNAcentral also lists the same sequence under 3 other names. The record is from RNAcentral. Lineage: Bacteria; Pseudomonadati; Pseudomonadota; Gammaproteobacteria.